UACGUAGGGGGCAAGCGUUGUCCGGAUUUAUCGGGCGUAAAGAGCGUGUAGGCGGUUAGGUAGGUCCGUUGUGAAAACUCGAGGCUCAACCUCGAGACGCCGAUGGAAACCAUCUGACUAGAGUCCGGAAGAGGAGAGUGGAAUUCCUGGUGUAGCGGUGAAAUGCGCAGAUAUCAGGAAGAACACCCGUGGCUAAGGCGGCUCUCUAGUACGUGACUGACGCUGAGACGCGAAAGCGUGGGGAGCGAACAGG
Molecule: ribosomal RNA, 253 nt
Filed under: uncultured bacterium
Lineage: Bacteria
Description: partial 16S ribosomal RNA
Rfam family: Bacterial small subunit ribosomal RNA
Source: RNAcentral